This 1067-nucleotide long non-coding RNA is filed under the name Nicotiana benthamiana. Its description in RNAcentral is "long non-coding RNA (NBEN_LNC033860)". The record is from RNAcentral. Lineage: Eukaryota; Viridiplantae; Streptophyta; Magnoliopsida; Solanales; Solanaceae.
AGGAGAUGGAUUGAGAGUAGGAGAAGAAACAGAAGAGGUAUUCCCUGAAGAGGCAAAGGGAAAUACAUCUUCAUGAAAAACCACAUCCCUGGAGACUAUUGUAAGUUUAGUCUUCAAGUUGUACAGCUUGUAUCCUUUUUUUCCCAAUGGAUAUCCCAGAAAAACACAAGGAUCAGCAAAAGACAUCUUCAUGAAAAACCACAUCCCUGGAGACUAUUGUAAGUUUAGUCUUCAAGUUGUACAGGUUGUACCCCUUUUUACCCAAAGGAUAUCCCAAAAAAACACAAGGAUUAGCUCUAGGCUGAAAUUUGUCCCUGUGCUGCUUAGGGACAUCAGCAAAACAAAGACACCCAAAGGUUUUAAGAUGGUUGUAAGAAGGGGUUUGUCCAAAAAGCAACUUAAAAGGGGAUACAUUGUUAAGUAGUUUGGAAGAAAAUCUGUUUAUGAGAUAGGUUGCAAUAAGCACACAAUCACCCCAGAAUCUAAGAGGGAGUUGGGAAUGAAAGAGUAAGGCUCUGGAUGUUUCCAGUAGAUAUUUAUGCUUUCUUUCAACCACACCAUUUUGUUGUGGUGUAUGAGAGCAAGAGGUUUGGUGUAGGAUUCCAUUUUCAGCAAAGAUAUUGCAGCCAGAACUACUAGAUCCAAGUUCAAAGGCAUUGUCACUCCUAAUGGUUUGCACAACAGUCUGGAAUUGAGUUUUGAUCUUGCCUUGAUAAGAAGAAAUAAAAGCAUUGUCACUCCUAAUGGUUUGCACAACAGUCUGGAAUUGAGUCUUGAUCAUGGCAAUAAAAGCCUUGAUAAAAGGAAAGGCAUUGCUCUUGGACCCCGUACGGUGAGUCCAGGUAGCUAUAGUAAAAUCAUCAACUAUUGUUAGAAAAUAUUUACAGCCAUUAUGAGUGGAGGUGGCAUAAGGACCCCAGGUAUCUACAUGAAUGAAUUGAAAGGCAUGUGUUGUCCUAAUGGAACUGUCAUGAAAUAGCAGUCUAGAUUGUCUAGCUAAUAGGCAAACAGUACAUAUGAAAGGUUGUUUAUUUGCAAAUUUGCAUGGAAUAGAAGGAAUGUCCUNN